RNAcentral lists this ribosomal RNA (252 nucleotides) under uncultured bacterium. RNAcentral's name for it is "partial 16S ribosomal RNA". It matches the Rfam family "Bacterial small subunit ribosomal RNA", at positions 524 to 776 of the family's 1533-position model. The record is from RNAcentral.
UACGUAGGGGGCUAGCGUUGUCCGGAUUUAUUGGGCGUAAAGAGCGUGUAGGCGGCCAUGUAGGUCCGGUGUGAAAACUCGAGGCUUAACCUCGAGAUGUCAUCGGAAACCAUUUGGCUAGAGUCCGGAAGAGGAGAGUGGAAUUCCUGGUGUAGCGGUGAAAUGCGCAGAUAUCAGGAAGAACACCAUGGCGAAAGCAGCUCUCUGGGACGGUACUGACGCUGAGACGCGAAAGCGUGGGGAGCGAACAGG